AUAUCCUUCAACCCUUCCCCUCCCCCCUCCACCGAAGUAUAACGUCCCAGUGCUCAUCGCUUAAAGAGACAGAUGUUUAAAUAAUUUCAAACGUUGUGGUUUUGGACAUUGUUUUGGAAGAGAAGCUUCUACUCUGUAGUGAUACAAUUUGUAGUGAUUCCUAGCGGUACGCUGUACAAUGUGGUAGGCUCUGUUGUGAUAGGCUAAUGCUAAUGCACUGUGGAGUACUGUAGUGGUAUCAUUACUCGUACUAUGCUAAAUAGCGAUUGAUGUUUCAGGCUUUCUUGGAUCAAAGCACAUUCAGAGGAUUGAUUUUUUUUUAACGAUAUCACUUUCAAUAGAUCAAUAAACCAAUUGUUUUAUGUACACAAUUGAUACCUAAUUUUAAACUCAUUUUUAUGGUUUAAACUUAAACAAACACUGUCACCGAGGAUUGCAGAGAGUAUUUCAUUUUUCUGACAUCAACCUACUGCGUUGUUUAGGGCAUUACAUUGAUCAGUUAAUAGGUUGAUUUGUUGACGUAUUGCUGCUACCAAGAACGAGAAAUAAACAAGUCAUGUGACGAACAGACUCCAUGUCGAGUGUUGCUGUUUCUCUGCUGCUGUUCUUUGCUUGCUGCUCUGGUUGUGAAGCCGCUGUCUGGAGUGUGCAGGCAACAAAUACAUGUAUAGACAACAACGGUACAUUUAGAUGCCCAAGAAAAACUGUGUUCUAUGGAUCUUAUCAGGAAAGAAUUCUCUACCGGAAAUGCGAAAGUCUGAAAUGUGACUUUAUUUCUGCUGGUUGCGUCAUACGCCAAAAUGAUCCACCGCCAUCUUUAUCGUGCUUCAGUAUUCUGGGAAAGAUGACCAAGGCAGACGCAAACUGUCCUUAUAAACCAUGUGAAGGCUACAACAGCAAGUCUGUGUGUGUACGUAACAGCACGACCUGCCUGCAAGAUGUCGGGGAGCUGCAGACCUUUGGCCUGUGCCACGAGGAAGAGUUGUGCUGUCUUUUUAAAACAAAAGUUUAGAAAGUUUUUCUCUGGGUCGACGAUGGACGAGACACAAUCUGAAGAAAAAAGGUGUGGUUAUCAAAGACAGAUUUCCAAUAUACAAACCACCUCUUUCUACUUAUCAACAGAAAACCUGUGCCUGUGGUAAAACGUAGUGGCAGACGUAGCCAAGUUGUCUCGUUUUCGUUAUUCAACAUGGUGGAAGUGCAACUAAAUUUAGCAGACGAUAACUCGAUUUGAUUUCAUUCAGUACAUUGUAAGAAUCAUAAAAAAAGUGUACAUUUAUGAUGAAUUUAGAAAAUUUAUUAAUUAUUGUUUAAAAUUUAAAAAAAAAAGGAAGCUCUUCAUUUCACGUCCAACAGAAAAGCUUUUAAAAAACUUAACAAUUUCCACCAAGUUCAGGGUCACCAUAUACAUUGGGAGGAGAAAAAGGAGGAUAAAGCCUUGCAAAGGAAAAAAAAAAUCUUGAAAAAGUAAUACAACAAUGUAGUUGAUGACACAUGUCAGUAAAUUGAAGGCCGCAAAACUUAAAUAUCUUAUUUCUCAAAGGACUUUUCGGAGUAGUUAAUUAUGUGCACAAGCAUUCGCGUGCAACUCAAUAACGACAUUGUCUUUUGUUGCACCCUGUUUAAAUUUUGAAUACCUCAGUAACGAUUAGACUUAGAAACUGAUUCAAUGGAGAAUAAUUUACUCUCUUAUUUACUGCAACCUUUUCCAAUACAAUCGCUCCUUUAACUUAGCAUUAAGUUAAAAAAAAUGCGAAAGAAAAAGGGGCCGAUUUUGAGGAGCUAUGAGAAGCAGGUUUCUUUUGAAGAGCUCUCAUUAUAAAAAUAUAUCAUACGAAAGAAGUCAAAAACUUUUUCAUCUCUCUGCUAUGUAUGAGCGACUUAGGCGCGUGUUUCAACUAGUACAAGAUGGGGAGGGUCGGCGUCGACUGUAAGGGAAACAUUACAACUACAGUAAACAACAAUAGAUCUAGUCAACGCCAGACAUUCUCACAUUUUGGGCCAAGGCAUGUCGGAAGAAGGACAAGGCAGAGACGACCUUAACAGUGCGUGGGGUUCUGGGCGAGUGUCAGAUCUGGGCCAAGAAAAUUUGUACGAUGGGCUGAAGGUGACAACGAUUUUUUUUAAUCGCGGGGCCCCUCUUAGGCGCGGGGCCUGGGGCGGUUGCCCCACUCGUAACCCCUAAGGCCGCCUCUGGGUCACACGACCCCAAAAAGGGAUACACGCCCUCUUAUUGGCUUUUACCUAACGACUGGUAACUCUAAUCAGCUUCUGUAAAGGGAAACUCUGCCUUAUUUUUUUUUCUUUAGCUAUAUAUAGCAACUAGUUUAUUGUAAACACAAUUUUCUCAUAAAAAUCUACAAUUCAAAUCACCCAAUCAAUAUCGAGCCAUUCUCUGUUGACAUGCAUAGAAAUCAAGAGCAAAGUUCUUUUCACUUCGCGAAUAAAAAAGCAACAGCAACAAAAGCAGGGCAACUCUUACACAUUUAAUGUCUUCUAUAGACUGGAUAACACUUCUAUUCAAUGACUAUUCAGUCAAUACUGUUAAUAGUUAAUAUAAUUUCCAAAGUGUUUUAUGACCAAUGCUCGGUCGGUGUUAGAAGAGAUUUUAUUUGUUUACCGGUUGAAAUAAAACUGCCGAGGAAAUAGUGUUUGGGGUAUUCACCUAAUUAGUCCAACGUUUAUUCAUUUCUACUUAGGAAUUAAUAAGAUGGCGACCUAUUUUAAAAAAAAAAGACAUCCAUUAUUCAAACGUCUACAUUCCCCCCCCCCCCCGGCCAGAUGUAUACAAUGUUGUCCGCGAUCCCAGCUGGGGUAGAGCACUGUAAGCGUCCAAAGUGGGGUCCGCAAGGGGAACACGAUUCCGGUUUUAGUUUACGCAAAUAUAAUAGACCUGUUUUAAAACCGAAAUUUACGUAAUGAAUGCUCAAUUAAGCUGGUCAGUUCCACUUUCAAAUAUCCAACCCAGCGGUUCUCAACCUUUUAAGCUCGGCGACCCCUCAUACAUUCUCACACUCUGCCGCGACCCCCCCCCCCCACACACACACAUACACAUACAGCAAUAGAUGAGUAGACAAUAACAAUUCAUAUUUUCGAUGGUCUUAGGCGACCCCUGGCGAAUCGUCAAUCGACCCCCAAGGGGGUCGCGACCCACAGGUUGAGAACCCCUGCUGUAAACAAUGUUUAGUAGAUCUUGAUGAAUUGUUUUGUUAACUGGAGAUAGUACAGGAGAGACUUCUUUCGGGGAAACUUUUUUAUUAUAGGCACAUGAAAAAGUCGUCAACAUAACGUGCGUGACAGUCGGAAAAAAAUUCCGACGCAAGAGAGUCGCUAACAAGUUAGCGGAGAUGUUUUGAAAUGUCUUCAAAAAGUCGAUGUAAUGGCAGUCGCCUCUCGUGAUAACGAUAUAUCCUACAUAUAAGGGAAUAUGCUUCUUCCCUGAAGGGUUUAUCAGGGAAAUUGUGCGCAUCGUCUUCCAAGUCUAGAUGUCAAUGUCUUCGAUUCCGAAGGUUAAGGAUGAGUGCGCUGUUUCACGUGACCCAGUUGCGAGCUGCAUAUUUGUCCUCACCUAAAGGCCUAUCAUUGGAAGAGUAUAAAGUGCAGUAGAUCUCUACGUUCCCUUAACCAGGGUUCUUUCUUGGGAUGAAGGUGAGGGGGGGGGGCUGUUGUUUUUUUUAUUUAAAUCUAACAUUCAUUAGUUAUUAAGAGAAAAACAAUCGCUGUAUAAGUUGUAUAAAGGAAGUCUUUUUUUCUUUUUUAAAUAACAGUUUUAAUGUUUUAUCUUGUUUCUUUUGUAACUUGACUGAUUCUUUUUAAAAAAAUUAUAAGUUAUGUCGUAUAAAAUUGUCAGGCUUUGAGGCUAAAAGAAUACUCGAUGUGAUAUUUUAUUUAAAAAAAAAAAAAGACGUAUUUUAUGCAUGUAUCGUCUCAAUGUUCGUACUUACCAAUGAAAACAUGUGUGUGUGUGUGAUUACAUUGUAGAUUUAUGAUGUGUAUUAAAUGAUCAGGUGCAGACAUUGUAAGAGCCUUUCGUCUUUACAAUAUAUAGGCCUAUGACCUUUGAACUUGUCUGAUUAAAAAAAAACAACACGGUUAGAUAAGAAAAUAUAGGUUGCUAGAAAUCUAGGCUAUUGUAGAGCUCAAUUACCGAAGACCUAGACCUUUUAUCUUAAACAUCUUUCAAACCGCUUAAGAAUUUGGGAACAAAAUAUUUUUGUUUGUUUCAUGCUUAACGUAAAGCGACUUUGGAAAACGUAUUUCGUUUCGUUUAAACAGCCAGUGUGUGUUUUAUGAAAAGCUUUUAGACAAGGCACCUGGCUCUGAUGGACUUCCCGCUGAAAUAUUUAAAAUGGGUGGUGUCGCCCUAACCGAGUGGCUAACAGACUUGUUCGCUCUACGCUGGGAGAAGUGCGUGGUCUCACCUGAACUUCGAGAUUCCAUAAUCAUAUCCCUAUACAAAAAGGGUGACAAGGGCGCUUCAACUAUCGAGGCAUUACACUUCUGUUAGUAUCUUAUCUUAUAUAAUACAGACGUUACUUAAAAAAAGAAGACGAAUACGUCCUAAGCGUCAUGCAUUCAGAGUCAUGCAUAUUAACCAAUGACUUGAAUUCUGCCAAGUCACUGGUUUUCCUGGCUAGCUCAGGCACUAGGGAAGAAGGAGUAUUUGUACAAAUCUGUCCUAGCAUGAUAUUUGUUCUGCGACAAUUACAAGAAAAAUGCAAAGAGCAGAACCUAAACCUUUACGCUGCCUUUGUGGAUCUCACCAAGGCUUUCGACACGGUCAGUCGCGAUGGCUUGUUGAGGAUUGUGGCCAGGCUGGGAUGCCCACCUACGUUCCUAUCCAUUCUCAAGCAGUUUCACGUGGGACAAAAAGGCCAGACACAAUGGUGUCCUGUCUGAUCAUUUCCCAAUAGAAAAUGGCGUGAAGCAUGGCUGUGUAAAUGCUCCUACUCUAUUCGCUAUCUUCUUUGGCGUAAUGCUGGGUCAAAUGAGGCAGCGAUUGCACGAAGGCAUCUACAUCCGGUUUCGUCCAGACGGCAAUGUGUUCCAUCUUCGACGUCUACUAUCCCAUACAAAAACAAAGGGGAUGGUCAUAACGAAGCUUCUCUAUGCCGAUGAUUGCCCCCUGCUAGCUCACAAUGAACAUGAUCUCCAGAUCGCGGUAAACGAAUUUGCAUACGCUGCCGCCUCUUUCGGUUUAUCUAUAAACUUGGGAAAAUAGAAGUCAUGUUCCAGAAGUGACCCAAUAAAACAUACUCAGCCCCAAGGAUCACCGUAAACGGACAGCCCCUUAACGUGGUAGACCACUUCACAUAUUUAGGUAGUAUAGUGUCAAAUGACGCCUCACUUUCAAGGGAAGUUGAUAACCGUCUGGCCAGGGCCAGUAGCGCUUUUGGACGCCUUCAGGCGAGAGUUUGGCGGAACAAAUCGCUCCACCUGCCUACAAAAAUCAAUGUCUACCAGGCGGUGGUUCUCUCAACCUUCUAUAUGGCUCUGAGACAUGGACACUAUAUAGAAAACAACUAAGACUUCUUGAGCGCUUCCACCAAAGAUGCUUGCGCUCCAUCAUGGGCAUACGGACGCAAGACCGCACUACAAACAGCGAUGUCCUUGCGAACGCCGGUAUGGACAGUAUAGAGGGACUUUUUAUAUAUGUCUAUGUCUUUAGUAUUCAGAAUGAGAAUUCUUUUUUCAUUUAAAUAGAUUCUAGACCUAUAUUUAAAUGUUUCGGCUUGAUUCUACACUAUUGUUUAAAAUGACUAAACUGUUUAACUUGAUAUUUAUAAAUUAUAGUGGCUUAAUAUGUCAUUGUAACACACACACACACUCAUACACAUCAACUAUAGGGAAGAAAUCGUUCGAAUAGAAAAAGAGCUGAAAAUCACAAGCAAGAUUUCAUUCGUCAAACUUCUUUGACAGAACAUCUGCAAUUGACAAGAUAAGAUCAUGAAAAAGACAUUUCGCCUACAGUGGCACUUAGGACUUUUUUCUAAAAUUUCUUACGGAUUCAAACCUACAACCACUUGAUAAACAAUAGAACAUCGCGCCUCUAGGCCAGCUUUCUUUAUUAAAACCCGAGCCACGUGAUGUCAAUAAGUGUGACAUAUCAUAUAGGUCAGGUGCUGAGUGACAGCUUGGGGCGGGAAGAGACAGUCUAUGUUAAUAUUAUGUACAUAUUAAUUAAUGAUUGUUUGUAUAAUCUACUUCACCAUGUUUCUAUGUAGAUCUAGGUAUUCCUCACUCAUCUGGUCCACAUAAGGCUCCUGGCAAGCUGCAUCUCCUGCCUCAACCCUUCUCGUUUGAUUAUCUACCUUUGGUUGCCCUGGGCAACGUCCCCGGAUGUUUUUAUUAUGUCUUGCUAAGAUCUAGUAGGCCUACACUCUAGUCACCACUCACGAGUCCCAUACGCUAGGACUAAUUUUGUACAAAUACUCCUUCCCUAGUGCUAUUAGAGCAUGGAAUGGGUUGCCUGAAUCGGACUGGAAAACAAAAUGGCUUGGCAGAGUUUAGGUCAUUGAUUAACAUGCAGACUAGAUUGACCUGGGGACACUCGUAGGACGUAACCAUCUUCCUUUUUGUGAAGUGACGUCUUUAAUUCAAAAGAAGAAACAGUUUUGUCUUGUCAGUCUUAAUUGUGCCAUUAGUUACUGUCUUGAGUACAAUAAGACAAACACACGUUUUUCCCCACUCAAAAGAGAAAGACAAAUUGAGCGCAUUGUAACAACUACUUAUUUGUACAAAGCUUCUAUCAACUCACUCUGUCUGUCUGUCUGGGUACAAACUUUGAACAUGUUUAUGUCUCCCAUUUCCUAUUCACGGAUCAAGUUGAAACGAACAUUAUUCAUUGCACGUGACAAGACAUGAAUCAAUCAAAAAAAAAGUUAGUUAAAUUAUCAAUGGUGAUUAUUUUUAUUUACUAAAGGGAAUAAAUGUUACUUACUGAGAGCUGUGGAUGAGUAUACAGAUUUAAGCCCCUUAUUUUGUUUGAACACAUUUACUCUCCCACUUCCCAUGAUUUGGAUCAAGUUGAAAUUUUACAUAAUUAUUUAUAGUCGGUGACAAUACACGAAACUAUUCAAAAAUUAACCAAUUAGUUAAUAAAUUCCUUUUAUUUUAAAUAGCAAAAAAAAAGGGAGCUAAACCUUACCCUAUUCAGAUAAAUGUCAGUAAAAUGUUAUUUU
This is a long non-coding RNA of Biomphalaria glabrata, 7181 nucleotides long. RefSeq lists it as uncharacterized. The record is from RefSeq and is a predicted model, not a curated record. The transcript has 4 exons. Lineage: Eukaryota; Metazoa; Mollusca; Gastropoda; Planorbidae.